GCUAAUACCGCAUAACAAUGGAUGACCCAUGUCAUUUAUUUUGAAAAGGGGGCAAAAUGCUCCACUACAAGAUGGACCUGCGUUGUAUUAGCUAGUAGGUGAGGUAACGGCUCACCUAGGCGACGAUACAUAGCCGACCUGAGAGGGUGAUCGGCCACACUGGGACUGAGACACGGCCAGACUCUACCGGAGCCAGCAGCGGUAUCUCCGCAAUGGGGCACCUGACCGAGCAACGCCGCGUGAGUGAAGAAGGUUUUCGGAUCGUAAAGCUCUGUUGUAAGUCAAGAACGGGUGUGAGAGUGGAAAGUUCACACUGUGACGGUAGCUUACCAGAAAGGGACGGCUAACUACGUGCCAGCAGCCGCGGUAAUACGUAGGUCCCGAGCGUUGUCCGGAUUUAUUGGGCGUAAAGCGAGCGCAGGCGGUUUGAUAAGUCUGAAGUUAAAGGCUGUGGCUCAACCAUAGUUCGCUUUGGAAACUGUCAAACUUGAGUGCAGAAGGGGAGAGUGGAAUUCCAUGUGUAGCGGUGAAAU
Molecule: ribosomal RNA, 533 nt
Filed under: uncultured Bacillota bacterium
Lineage: Bacteria; Bacillati; Bacillota
Description: bacterial SSU rRNA
Rfam family: Bacterial small subunit ribosomal RNA
Source: RNAcentral